CUCGCAGAGCUGAGGAGCGAAGGGGAAGGACUGGGCUGCUGCUCUACCCCACUUGCUGCGGCCCAGCAGCCGUCCUCAAUGUUCCACACUUGGCAGCGCCCUCAGAUUCAGGACAAGGUUCUCACUUCUCCCAUUCAAGAUUUCAUUGGAUAUUCAAGCCAGUCCAGUAAAUUAAGACCAAAAAAAAAAAAAAAAGAAUAAUCUACAGAUUUUAAAGGAAGAAGUAAAUAUGUGUUUAUUUGAAACAAUGUUCUUAUGGAAAUAGAAAAGUCUACGGAAUCUAGAAAAAAGUACUAGACCAGGUUACUUCUCCCAUGUGCACUUAUAUAAAGAUGCCAGCUUUGUUUUAGGAGGAAUACAGUGGUCCCCCUCCCCAUCUGCAAGGAUGUACUUCAAGACCAUUUGUGGAUGUCUGAAACUGCAGUAAUGAAAAAUAACUAAAGAUGCAAGCUCUCUCUGAGGAAGGAGCAGAGACAGCAGCUGACUCACCAUCUCUCGGAUUUACACUUGCAAACCCAAGGCCAUGGCUGCUGGACAGGUCUGAUGAGCCACUGAAGGACCCCAGGCAAGGCAGAGGCCAACAGAGCAUCAUGUUGUCUGCAGAGAAAAGCAACACGUUCAGAGCUGAGGACAGGCUCUUUUAUCAUCUGGUCAACAAGCAGAGUGGGAGGAUUCAGAGUGUUUCACCAACCAGUCAUGGGGUUCUGUCCCUGAUUUUCCCUGGAAUCUUCCUGAUCCUGAUGUCACCCAGAGCACGUCUCUUCCGGGAGCUCAGGUCCGUGACGCACUGAAUGGGGCAAGAAUCAUCAUCUCCAAUCCCUGUGAAUGGCGUGAACUUUGAAUGGUGCACCUCCAAUCCCUGAAGUGGCGUGAGCUCUGGGCCAAUGCCCUGUUUCUCCUCAUCCCACUUUGAGCCCAUAAAUAUCAAUACCCUGUUUGUGCUCGCUCUCUCUCUCUCUCCCUCUCCCCUUCUCCCCUCCUCUCUCU
Molecule: long non-coding RNA, 987 nt
Organism: Marmota flaviventris (yellow-bellied marmot)
Lineage: Eukaryota; Metazoa; Chordata; Mammalia; Rodentia; Sciuridae
Source: RefSeq, a predicted model, not a curated record